CACAAACUCCAAGGACUGUCUAAAUUUAUUUUAUUUGGAUGAUUUGUUGCAUCAAAUAUUCCUUGAACUGUGAAGAGCAUUGACUGGAUCCUUGACAUGUUUUGUUUAUAAUAUUUUGAUGAUUUUUGUUACUCAUGGUAAAGGGAUUUGACAUGGAUAUCUGGGUUAUGUUUGGCUUUUGGCAUACACUUUGGAGUCUGAUUUAAUGUCAACUUGGUUGUAUCAUUACCAGAUUAAUUGGAUAGAAAUAGAAGUACAUACUGCUACCAUCCCAUCCCUGAUACCAACAAAAUGCCUGUGUCCCAAGGGAAACCCUGUUAAGGGAGCCCAGAACCAUUUUUCAUGAAUCAGGCUAGGGUUUAUCUGAAUUCCUUCCCAUAAAUAGUAUUAGAAUUGAUUUUUACCAUUGCUUAUUUCCUUUGGGCUAGGCACGGUUCUGUUGGGUUGUGCUAAUCUCACAGAAACAGAUGUUUUAUACAGUGAUGAUUUGGAAGACAGUUGAUAUCAGAAAUUGAGCUGGACUGUGCAUCACUUACAAAGAAUCCAAUUUGUCGAGUCUCUGACAGUACCAGAUUCCUUUCAUAUUGGCCACACGUUUUUCAUAUUAGUUCUUGGCUAAAAUAAGAAUAAGUAUGGUUCUUUCAUAGUGACUUUUACCAUCUCUUGCAAGGCAAUCUGAUUUUUCUUGUAUAAACUGAUACACAGAUAAUAUUAUCAGUUAUCAUACAUUAUGAAGGACAUAAAUCUGUGUUUCUAGGAAAAGUAUCAAUCUUUUCCAAGAAAUUUAUGCCUUCUGGUCCUCAUGUCCCCUUUGUCUUCUGACUGACUACAUCAAAGUUUGGCCCUCAGUAGCCACUCUGUUUAUUUUCUCCAUCUUCCUUCAUAACAUCUCUGCUUCUGAGUACUUAAAAGCAUGAUAUGGAAUGUUAAAAAUGGAGACAUGUUGUAGUAUGGAAAAAGUUGGAUUUUGUGAAUCUUUUGUUUCCCUUACCAUAUAACUUUUUUGUGGGUACCAGGAAUUAAACCCAGGGUCACUUAACCACUGAGCCACAUCCCUAGCCCCUUUUUAUAUUUUAUUUAGAGACAGGGUCUGGUUGAGUUGCUAAGGACCUUGCUAAGUUGCUGAGGCUGGCUUUGAACUCUCAAUCCUCCUGCCUUAGCCUCCUGAGCCACUGGGAUUAUGGGCAUGCACUACCAUGCCUGACCCACCUUAUAACUUUUCUUUUGAAUAUUUGUAGGUAAAUAAAUAAUUUAUUUAGAGUACAUAUAGUCAAUUCCUUUGUGGUAGGCAGAUUAAUGCCCCCCCACACACACACCAGAUAUUCAUAUCCUGGUCCCCAGAACCUACGAAUAUGUUAUGUGGCAAAAGGGACUCUGCAAAUAUGACUCAGUGAAGAUUCUGGAGAUGGAGAGUGUUAUAUUUUGGAUUAGUGUCUCUCAAAGGCUAUGUUCCUUGAAGCUUUGGUCCCUAGUUGGUAGCACUAUCGGGAGGUAGUAGAAACUUUAGGAGCUUGGGUGUAAUGGGAGCAAAUUAGGUCACUGUGCAUGUGUCCUAGAAUGAGAUAUUGGGAUCCUGGGUCCUCUUAUUCUUCUCUUUUUCACUUCCUGGUUGCCUUGAGGUGAGCAGCCUUAAGGCUCUGCUGUGGACUCCUGCCAUGAUAUUUUGCCUCGCCACAGGCCUGAAAGCAAAAUGGUCAACUGAGCAUGGACUGAAAUCAUGAGCCAAAACAAAUUUUCCUCUUUUAAAGUCAGUUAUCUCAGGUAUUUUGUUGCAGUAAUGGAAAGCUGACUAAUACAGAGAGAUUAAAUUGGAUAACUCAAGUAGGUACAGUGUCAUCAUAAGAGUCUGUAUACAUGAAAAAUGAAGACAGAGAAGUCACAGAAAAGCAGGGAGGACAAUAGAAGCUGUGAUGUGAUUGUGAUUUAUUGAAGCAGCAAUAGGAAACUAACAUAACCUCCUAAAUAUUGUCAAUAUAUUUUUGAUUCUGUGUUUACCUUUAAAGGGAGAGAGAAAGGAAAGGAGCCAUACUUUAAUUUUUUUUUUUUUUAAAGAGAGAGAGAGAGAGACAGAGAAUUUUUUUUAAUAUUUAUUUUUUUAGUUUUCGGCGGACACAACAUCUUUGUUUGUAUGUGGUGCUGAGGAUUGAACCCAGGCCGCACGCAUGCCAGGCGAGUGCGCUACCGCUUAAGCCACAUCCCCAGCCCGCCAUAUUUUAAUUUGAUUUAAAAAGUAGAUUUUAGGGCUGGGGAUAUAGCUCAGUUGGUAGAGUGCUUGCCCUGCAUGCACAAGGCCCUGGGUUCAAUCCCCAGCACCACAAAAAUAAAUGAAUAAAUAAAGUAGAUUUUAAUGCUCUCCAUCAAUAAGUACUUGGUAAGUCACAUUAAGCUAUAUUUAAAUAAAUCUUAUUGUAUUAGUUAACUAUAUGCUGUAUAACAAAAUUACCCCAAAACUUGGUGCCUUAAGGCAACAUGUAUUGUCUCACAGUGUCUCACAACUUGGCUGUGUUCUCUGGCCCAGAGACUAUUACAAGGCUGCAAUAAAGAUAUCAGCCAAGACUGAAAUUAUGAGCCUCACCUGGAAGGAUGCACUUCCAAACUCAUACUUAUGUGAUUGUUGGCAGCAAUCGUUUUCUAGAGGAUGGUUGGCUAGAGUCUGUUCUCUGUUCCUUGCCACGUGGCCUCUCCAUAGGACAGCUGUUAUGGUUUAGAUUUUGAAUGUCCCGCUUUAACCUUUUUUUGGUGAUGCUGGGGAUUGAACCCAGGGCUUUGUGCAUGUGAGGCAAGCACUCUACCAACUGGGCUAUAUCUCCAGCCCCUUGAAUGGCCCUUUUAAAAGCUCAUGUGUUGAAAGCAUGAUCCCCAAAAUAGCAAGGUUCAGAGGUAGGACUUUUAGGCCAUGAUUGGAUCAUGAGGACUCUGACCUCAUCAAAUGGAUUAAUCCACUCAUAGCUGAAUGGACUACUAAGAUGUAGGACCUCACUGGAGGAAGAAGGUCACUAGGGACAUAAUCUGGAAGAGUUUUAUCUUCUCCCCAGCCCCGCCCCCCUCCCCAUCUGCUAUGAGCUGAGUGGCUUUCUUUCACCAUGCUGUUUCUGCCUUGGAGCCAGCUAAUCUCAGAAGUGACAUCCUAUCACUUUUGCUAUAUUCUAUUGAUUAGAAGCAAGUCACUAGGUGCAGUCCACACUCAGUGAGUGACACAGGGAAAUAUUAGGAGGCAGAAAUCAUGGUGUCAUCUUAUAGUCAACUGCAACAUUUAUGAUCUUGGUUAAAAGUAUAAUUCAUUUUUCCAUAAGGUCAAUGACUCAAAAAUGAGUAGUGAUUUUUUUGUUUUGUUUCUUUGUGUAGAUUGUCCAUGCUUUUUCAUAUUGAUUUCUAGGAGCUCUUUAUAUAUGCAUAAUACUAAUUAUUAUCAGUUAUUUG
RNAcentral lists this long non-coding RNA (3420 nucleotides) under Marmota monax (woodchuck). The stretch from base 2246 to 2315 matches the Rfam family "tRNA". The record is from RNAcentral. Lineage: Eukaryota; Metazoa; Chordata; Mammalia; Rodentia; Sciuridae.